UUAAAAGAAAGUCAAAUAUACUAAAAUCUGAAGGAUACAGACAACAUUAGUGUGGUUCCUGUACAAGGACAAUGCGCAAAUUCGUGAAGAGUUCCAUAUUUUU
Molecule: small nuclear RNA, 103 nt
Organism: Heterocephalus glaber (naked mole-rat)
Lineage: Eukaryota; Metazoa; Chordata; Mammalia; Rodentia; Bathyergidae
Source: Ensembl